CUGGUAGGCCUGAGAGGUGCAGCCCAACGGUGUAGCUCAGGCUCCAGGCUUGGUUAUUCCUAGAAAAAUGAGGGAAAAAUAACUUUACAGUGGAAAAUCCCGCAGAUCAAGUGAUCUCAAAAUGCGGUUUUAUUAGAAGGGAUAAUCUGACAAAGCUGUCCGCUGCCUGGCAAAGAACAAUCAUUGUUAACGACCACAGCUUCUAAUCUGCAUGGAAUAUUAAUGUCACCACCCUGAGCAGCUGCAAUUCUAUGCCAAAGAAAGGAAUUUGACAUUUUAGUUGGACUGUGCAGCUUUA
Non-coding RNA from Sus scrofa (pig), 298 nucleotides. The record is from RefSeq and is a predicted model, not a curated record. Lineage: Eukaryota; Metazoa; Chordata; Mammalia; Artiodactyla; Suidae.